CAACGGCCCGAAGGGUGAGGAGCGAAGCGACGAAUAAUCCUUCCCCCACCACCA
This 54-nucleotide small RNA is filed under the name Escherichia coli. RNAcentral describes it as "partial RtT sRNA". It matches the Rfam family "RtT RNA", at positions 77 to 130 of the family's 130-position model. Rfam says of the family: This family represents a bacterial cis-regulatory element known as RtT RNA. The exact function of RtT is unknown although it is thought that it may be involved in changing the cellular response in relation to amino acid starvation. RNAcentral also lists the same sequence under 1 other name. Lineage: Bacteria; Pseudomonadati; Pseudomonadota; Gammaproteobacteria; Enterobacterales; Enterobacteriaceae. The record is from RNAcentral.